GGUUCGGUGGUGUAGUGGUUAUC
Molecule: microRNA, 23 nt
Filed under: Schistosoma japonicum
Lineage: Eukaryota; Metazoa; Platyhelminthes; Trematoda; Strigeidida; Schistosomatidae
Description: miRNA-3057
Source: RNAcentral